RNAcentral lists this ribosomal RNA (1453 nucleotides) under Bacillus sp. YP. RNAcentral's name for it is "16S ribosomal RNA". It matches the Rfam family "Bacterial small subunit ribosomal RNA". The record is from RNAcentral. Lineage: Bacteria; Bacillati; Bacillota; Bacilli; Caryophanales; Bacillaceae.
ACAUGCAAGUCGAGCGAACCAAUAAGAAGCUUGCUUUUUGUUGGUUAGCGGCGGACGGGUGAGUAACACGUGGGUAACCUGCCUGUAAGACCGGGAUAACCGGUGCUAAUACCGGAUAGAUUAUCUUUCCGCCUGGAGAGAUAAAGGAAAGAUGGCUUUUGCCCAUCACUUACAGAUGGGCCCGCGGCGCAUUAGCUAGUUGGGUGAGGUAACGGCUCACCAAGGCGACGAUGCGUAGCCGACCUGAGAGGGUGAUCGGCCACACUGGGACUGAGACACUGCCCAGACUCCCUACGGGAGGCAGCAGUAGGGAAUCUUCCGCAAUGGACGAAAGUCUGACGGAGCAACAACCGCGUGAGUGAAGAAGGUUCUUCGGAUCGGAAAGCUCUGUUGUUAGGGAAGAACAAGUAUCGGAGGAAAUGCCUGUACCUUGACGGUACCUGACGAGAAAGCCACGGCUAACUACGUGCCAGCAGCCGCGGAUUUACGUAGGUGGCAAGCGUUGUCCUGAAUUAUUGGGCGUAAAGCGCGCGCAGGCGGUCCUUUAAGUCUGAUGUGAAAUCUUGCGGCUCAACCGCAAGCGGUCAUUGGAAACUGGGGGACUUGAGUGCAGAAGAGGAAAGCGGAAUUCCACGUGUAGCGGUGAAAUGCGUAGAGAUGUGGAGGAACACCACAGGCGAAAACGCCGCUCUCGGCUCGGAAAACACACGCAGACGCGAAAAAGCGUGGGGAGCAAACAGGAUUUGAUACCCUGGUAGUCCACGCCGUAAACGAUGAGUGCUAAGUGUUGGAGGGUUUCCGCCCUUCAGUGCUGGCAUAAGGCAUUAAGCACUCCGCCUGGUGAGUACGGUCGCAAGACUGAAACUGAAACUCAAAGGAAUUGACGGGGGCCCGCACAAGCGGUGGAGCAUGUGGUUUAAUUCGAAGCAACGCGAAGAACCUUACCAGGUCUUGACAUCUCCUGACCGCCCUGGAGACAGGGUCUUCUUCGGGGACAGGAUGACAGGUGGUGCAUGGUUGUCGUCAGCUCGUGUCGUGAGAUGUUGGGUUAAGUCCCGCAACGAGCGCAACCCUUGGUUUUAGUUGCCAGCAUUGAGUUGGGCACUCUAGAGCGACUGCCGGCGACAAGUCGGAGGAAGGUGGGGAUGACGUCAAAUCAUCAUGCCCCUUAUGACCUGGGCUACACACGUGCUACAAUGGAUGGUACAAAGGGCAGCGAAGCGGCGACGCAUGAGCGAAUCCCAGAAAACCAUUCUCAGUUCGGAUUGCAGGCUGCAACUGCCUGCAUGAAGCCGGAAUCGCUAGUAAUCGCGGAUCAGCAUGCCGCGGUGAAUACGUUCCCGGGCCUUGUACACACCGCCCGUCACACCACGAGAGUUUGUAACACCCGAAGUCGGUGAGGUAACCGUAAGGAGCCAGCCGCCGGAGGUGGGACAGAUGAUUGGGGUGAAGU